UACGGAGGGUGCGAGCGUUGUUCGGAAUCACUGGGCGUAAAGCGCAUGUAGGCGGUUCGUUAAGUCUGGUGUGAAAGCCCGGGGCUCACCCCCGGAAGUGCACUGGAUACUGACAAACUCGAGUCCCGGAGAGGAGAGUGGAAUUCCUGGUGUAGCGGUGAAAUGCGUAGAUAUCAGGAGGAACACCGGUGGCGAAGGCGGCUCUCUGGACGGUGACUGACGCUGAGAUGCGAAAGCGUGGGGAGCAAACAGG
This 253-nucleotide ribosomal RNA is filed under the name uncultured bacterium. RNAcentral describes it as "partial 16S ribosomal RNA". It matches the Rfam family "Bacterial small subunit ribosomal RNA", at positions 524 to 776 of the family's 1533-position model. The record is from RNAcentral.